AAAAAAGCCCAUUUCUUCGAGCCAGUCUGAUCAGAUUGGCGCUCUUUUCUGUCUUGUGUCUUUUCAAAUUUCGCCGGAUUUGCUUCUCUACGUGGUAAUCGGGCGAGUCAUCCCCUCUCUGACUCAGUGAUUGGCAUUUCUCUCUCUUCCUCUCGCUAAGCUAAGCCAUCAUUUGCUUCUUCUAUGUUCAACAAAUAAGCUUGGCAAUGGAUUCAUAUUCGCUAAAGUCUGUGUCAGAUUUGCCCGCACCAUUUCGUUCAAUUUUUAACUUCAGGUACUUUAAUUCACUGCAAAGUGAAUGUUUUCCUGUCUGUUACCAUUCCAAUGUAAAUAUGGUAAUCUCAGCACCAACUGGAAGUGGUAAAACAGUGCUCUUUGAGCUUUGUAUACUGAGGCUUCUCUCAAGGUUUAUAUCAGAGGGGAGGUUUAUCCACAUCAAGGGAACUCUCAAAACAAUCUACAUAGCGCCAUCUAAGGCUUUGGUACAAGAGAAGCUUCGUGAUUGGAAUCAGAAAUUUGGAUCAUUGGGGAUAAAUUGCUUGGAGCUGACAGGGGACAAUGAAUUUUACAGCAUAAGGACUGUACAAGAAGCAGAUAUUAUCCUAACUACUCCUGAGAAAUUUGAUGCUGUGACUCGAUAUCGCAUAAAGGAUGGUGGCUUGAGCUUUUUCAGUGACAUUGCACUUCUACUUAUCGAUGAAGUUCACCUACUGAAUGAUCCACGUGGAGCAGCUUUGGAGGCAAUAGUUAGUAGAAUAAAAAUGCUUGCUCACAACCCUGAAAUGAAAUCAAGUACUCUAUCAUGUGUCCGUUUUCUGGCAGUUUCAGCCACAAUUCCAAACAUUGAGGACAUUGCUGAAUGGCUUAGUGUUCCAGCCCAAGGAAUUAAAAGGUUUGGAGAAGAAAUGAGACCUGUAAAGUUAACAACUAAAGUUUUUGGCUACACCCCAGCAAAGAAUGAUUUUCUAUUUGAAAAGCGCCUUCAAAACUAUAUAUUUGAUAUUCUGAUGCAGUAUUCAAGAGGGAAAUCUGCUCUUGUUUUUUGUUCAACUCGAAAAGGAGCACAAGAAGCAGCGCAGCGACUAUCUCAGACAGCAAUGACCUUUGGCUAUUCAAAUCCAUUCAUUAAAGACAAAGAACAGCAGGAAAGGCUAAGGGAAGCUUCACUAUCGUGCAGUGAUAAACAAAUGCAAUCAUAUAUCCUUUAUGGUGUUGGUUAUCACAAUGGUGGGCUUUGCUUGAAGGAUCGCAACCUUGUUGAGGGUCUCUUUCUAAAGGGUGACAUUCAAAUUCUAUGUACGACAAACACCCUUGCACAUGGAAUCAACUUACCAGCACAUACAGUGGUCAUAAAAUCAACACAGCACUUCAACAAGGAAAAAGGUCUUUACAUGGAAUAUGACCGAUCUACAAUACUGCAGGUGUUCUUAUUCUAUUGAUAUAAUGUCAAGUAAUUAAUUUGAUGAAGUUACUGUGUAUGCCAUAUAUUUGAGCUUGAAAUAUGAAAACCAGAGCUGUAUUCUUAUAUUACUUUGUGUGGUUUUAUUUUUGUUCACGCAUGAAAGUUAUAUCUGGAGAAAAAAAGGAUGCAGUCUGAGUCUGAGGGACUGCUGGAGUGAUUCGUUGUAAAUGAUUGUAGUGGAUAUUAAAAGUGGC
Molecule: unclassified non-coding RNA, 1656 nt
Filed under: Hevea brasiliensis (rubber tree)
Lineage: Eukaryota; Viridiplantae; Streptophyta; Magnoliopsida; Malpighiales; Euphorbiaceae
Source: RNAcentral